UACAGAGGUCCCAAGCGUUGUUCGGAUUCAUUGGGCGUAAAGAGCUUGUAGGCGGUCUGUCGCGUCUGCUGUGAAAAUCCGGGGCUCAACCCCGGACUUGCAGUGGGUACGGGCAGACUAGAGUGUGGUAGGGGAGACUGGAAUUCCUGGUGUAGCGGUGAAAUGCGCAGAUAUCAGGAGGAACACCGAUGGCGAAGGCAGGUCUCUGGGCCACUACUGACGCUGAGAAGCGAAAGCAUGGGGAGCGAACAGG
RNAcentral lists this ribosomal RNA (253 nucleotides) under uncultured bacterium. Its description in RNAcentral is "partial 16S ribosomal RNA". It matches the Rfam family "Bacterial small subunit ribosomal RNA", at positions 524 to 776 of the family's 1533-position model. The record is from RNAcentral.